CAUAGCUUAGUGGCAUAGUGUCUGCCUUUCAAGCAGAAGGUUCAAAGUUCAAUCCCAGGCAUCUCCCA
Molecule: non-coding RNA, 68 nt
Organism: Podarcis lilfordi (Lilford's wall lizard)
Lineage: Eukaryota; Metazoa; Chordata; Lepidosauria; Squamata; Lacertidae
Source: the annotation of a GenBank genome assembly